RNAcentral lists this ribosomal RNA (425 nucleotides) under uncultured bacterium. RNAcentral describes it as "partial 16S ribosomal RNA". It matches the Rfam family "Bacterial small subunit ribosomal RNA", at positions 354 to 796 of the family's 1533-position model. The record is from RNAcentral.
GUGGGGAAUCUUGCGCAAUGGGCGAAAGCCUGACGCAGCCAUGCCGCGUGAAUGAUGAAGGUCUUAGGAUUGUAAAAUUCUUUCACCGGGGACGAUAAUGACGGUACCCGGAGAAGAAGCUCCGGCUAACUUCGUGCCAGCAGCCGCGGUAAUACGAAGGGGGCUAGCGUUGCUCGGAAUUACUGGGCGUAAAGGGCGCGUAGGCGGACAGCUUAGUCAGAGGUGAAAGCCCAGGGCUCAACCUUGGAAUUGCCUUUGAUACUGGCUGUCUUGAGUUUGGGAGAGGUGAGUGGAACUCCGAGUGUAGAGGUGAAAUUCUUAGAUAUUCGGAAGAACACCAGUGGCGAAGGCGACUCACUGGCCCAAUACUGACGCUGAGGCGCGAAAGCGUGGGGAGCAAACAGGAUUAGAUACCCGGGUAGUCC